GAUAAACGCUGGCGGCGCACAUAAGACAUGCAAAGUCGAACGGACUUAACCAUUAGUUUACUAUUGGAGCGGUUAGUGGCGGACUGGUGAGUAACACGUAAGCAACCUGCCUAUCAGAGGGGAACAACAGUUAGAAAUGACUGCUAAUACCGCAUAUGCCCUAAGUACCACAUGGUACAAUAGGGAAAGGNGUAAUCCGCUGAUAGAUGGGCUUGCGUCUGAUUAGAUAGUUGUGGGGUAAUGGCCGUACCAAGUCGACGAUCAGUAGCCGGACUGAGAGGUUGAACGGCCACAUUGGGACUGAGAUA
Molecule: ribosomal RNA, 308 nt
Filed under: uncultured bacterium
Lineage: Bacteria
Description: bacterial SSU rRNA
Rfam family: Bacterial small subunit ribosomal RNA
Source: RNAcentral